GAAAGCAGGAAAGGGCGUACGGCGGAUGCCUUGGCUCCGGAAGGCGAAGAAGGACGCGGCAAGCUGCGAAAAGCCGCGGGUAGGUGCAUGCGACCGUUGAUCCGCGGAUGUCCGAAUGGGGCAACCCCUCCGGCUGAAGGCCGGAGAUCCCUGCCUAUAGCAGGGAGGCAAACGCAGGGAACUGAAACAUCUUAGUACCUGCAGGAAAAGAAAACAAGAGUGAUUCCCCCAGUAGUGGCGAGCGACCGGGGAACAGCCCAAACCGCAGGGGUUCCGGCCCCUGCGGGGUUGUAGGGCCGGAGACAUUGGAAAGCAGAAUCGAGCGGAACGAUCUGGAAAGUUCGGCCGCAGCGGGUGACAGCCCCUUACGCGAAGUUUCUCCUUUUCAUAUCCGGAUCCCUGAGUAGCGCGGGGCACGUGGAACCCUGUGUGAAUCCGGCGGGACCAUCCGCCAAGGCUAAAUACUCUCCGGAGACCGAUAGUGCACCAGUACCGUGAGGGAAAGGUCAAAAGAACCCCGCGCAGGGGAGUGAAACAGAUCCUGAAACCGUACGCCUACAAGCGGUCGGAGCACCUUGAUGGUGUGACGGCGUGCCUUUUGCAUAAUGAACCUACGAGUUGCCGUCGCCGGCGAGGUUAAGCGCAACUGAUGCGCGCAGCCGAAGCGAAAGCGAGUCUGAAGAGGGCGUAUAGUCCGCGGCGGCAGACGCGAAACCGAGUGAUCUACCCGUGGUCAGGAUGAAGUCCGGGUAACUCCGGAUGGAGGUCCGAACCGAUAAGCGUUGAAAAGCUUCCGGAUGAACUGCGGGUAGGAGUGAAAGGCCAAUCAAACUCGGAGAUAGCUCGUACUCCCCGAAAAGCAUUUAGGUGCUGCCUGGGGCGUUCCCCGCAUGAGGUAGAGCGACCGGCUGGAUGCGAGGGCUUCACCGCCUAUCAAGUCCUGUCGAACUCCGAAUGCAUGCGGGCCAAGCCCUGGAGAAAGGGGACGGGUGCUAACGUCCGUUCCCGAGAGGAGAAGAAUCCAGACCACCGGCCAAGGCCCCGAAGUGGAGUCUAAGUUAGUCUAACGAAGUCGCUUUCCGGUGACAGCUAGGAUGUUGGCUUGGAAGCAGCCAUUCAUUCAAAGAGUGCGUAACAGCUCACUAGUCGAGGAAGGCGGCAUGGAUAAUAAUCGGGUAUCAAGAUUCCCGCCGAAGCCGUGGGAUCCUUUUAUGGAUCGGUAGGGGAGCAUUCCAGUCUGCGUCGAAGGCGGUGCGCGAGCCCCGCUGGAGCGUCUGGAAAAGCAGAUGUAGGUAUAAGUAACGAUAAGGGGGGUGGGAUUCCCCCCCGCCGCAAGACCAAGGGUUCCCGGGCAACGUCAAUCGUCCCGGGGUAAGCCGGUCCCUAAGGCUAAGCCGAACGGCGAUGCCGAUGGAAAAACGGUCAACAUUCCGUUGCCGGUCAUGGGGGCGAUGCGGAGACGCGGAAGUGACACCGCCGCCGGCUGACGGAACAGCCGGUUGAAGGGUGUAGGUGCUGAGGGGCGCAGGCAAAUCCACGCCCCGAGCCGAACCUGAGAGUAUGCCUUUCCCUUCGGGGCGAGGCAAUAGCGCGGGUAACCCCGCCGCCGAGAAAAUCCGCUAAGCUUAACCCCAUGUCCGUCCGUACCCUAAACGGACACACGUGGUCGGGUAGAACAUACUGAGGCGCUCGGGUGAUUCGCGGUUAAGGAACUAGGCAAAUUGACCCCGUAACUUCGGGAAAAGGGGUCCUCCGCUCCGAAAGCGGAGGGCGCAGAGAAUAGGUCCAGGCAACUGUUUACCAAAAACACAGGACUGUGCCAAGCAUAGAGGCGACGUAUACAGUCUGACACCUGCCCGGUGCCGGAAGGUUAAGAGGAGACGUCAUCUUCGGAGAAGCGUUGAAUUGAAGCCCCGGUAAACGGCGGCCGUAACUAUAACGGUCCUAAGGUAGCGAAAUUCCUUGUCGGGGAAGUUCCGACCUGCACGAAUGGUGUAAUGAUCCGGACACUGUCUCAACCGCGAGCCCGGUGAAAUUGUAGUAUCGGUGAUGAUGCCGAUUACCCGCGAUGGGACGAAAAGACCCCGUGAACCUUUACUGCAGCUUAGUGCUGCGUCCGGGCAUCGGAUGUGUAGGAUAGGCCGGAGGCUUUGAAGCGGUCACGCCAGUGAUCGUGGAGCCGUCGUUGAAAUACGGCCCUUCCGCUGUCUGGUCGCUAACUCCCUGUGGGAGGACACCGCUUGGCGGGCAGUUUGACUGGGGUGGUCGCCUCCAAAAGCGUAACGGAGGCUCCUAAAGGUACCCUCAGGACGAUCGGUAACCGUCCGCAGAGUGCAAUGGCAUAAGGGUGCUUGACUGGGAGGCAGACAUGCCGAGCAGGUGGGAAACCAGAGCAUAGUGAUCCGGUGUUUCCGAAUGGAAGGGACAUCGCUCAAAGGAUAAAAGGUACUCCGGGG
RNAcentral lists this ribosomal RNA (2456 nucleotides) under human gut metagenome. RNAcentral's name for it is "bacterial LSU rRNA". It matches the Rfam family "Bacterial large subunit ribosomal RNA", at positions 1 to 2473 of the family's 2925-position model. The record is from RNAcentral.